GAUGAAGAACGCAGCGAAAUGCGAUAAGUAAUGUGAAUUGCAGAAUUCAGUGAAUCAUCGAAUCUUUGAACGAACAUUGCGCCCGGGAGCAUUCUCCCGGGCAUGCCUGUUCGAGCGUCAUUUCAACCCUCGAUUUCCCUUUGGGGAAGUCGGCCGUUGGAGAUCGGCAGCACUGCCGGCUCCCAAAUACAGUGGCGACCCGCCGCGGGGACCCCUGCGUAGUAACUUACACUCGCACCGGAAACCAGACGUGUCACGCCGUAAAACCCCCAACUUUCUGAACGUUGACCUCGGAUCAGGUAGGAAUACCCGCUGAACUUAAGCAUAUCAAUAAGCGGAGGA
This 342-nucleotide unclassified non-coding RNA is filed under the name soil metagenome. Its description in RNAcentral is "partial contains 5.8S ribosomal RNA, internal transcribed spacer 2, and large subunit ribosomal RNA". The stretch from base 1 to 120 matches the Rfam family "5.8S ribosomal RNA", at positions 35 to 154 of the family's 154-position model. The record is from RNAcentral.